CACAGCUCCAGGAGUUAACAUAUUUGAAUGGUGGUUCAGAAAAUGCAGAUGUUCCAGUGGUUCGAGGGAAACCCACCUUGCGUACAAGAGGUGUACCAGCCCCAGCAAUAACCAGGGGAAGGGGAGGAGUUACAGCCCGGCCAGUUGGAGUUGUAGUACCACGAGGGACGCCAACUCCCAGAGGAGUCCUGUCCACCCGAGGGCCAGUGAGUCGGGGAAGAGGACUUCUCACUCCCAGAGCAAGAGGAGUCCCCCCAACUGGGUACAGACCUCCACCGCCACCCCCGACACAAGAGACUUAUGGAGAAUAUGACUAUGAUGAUGGAUAUGGCACUGCUUAUGAUGAACAGAGUUAUGAUUCCUAUGAUAACAGCUAUAGCACCCCAGCCCAAAGUGGUGCUGAUUACUAUGAUUACGGACAUGGACUCAGUGAGGAGACUUAUGAUUCCUACGGGCAAGAAGAGUGGACUAACUCAAGACACAAGGCACCUUCAGCGAGGACAGCAAAGGGCGUCUACAGAGACCAGCCAUAUGGCAGAUACUGAUUGUACUGUCUGAUGUUGUGAAAUAGCCAAUCUCCACCAGUCCUGUAUACUGUUCAAAGAAAUGUCAGCCAUCUUGGAAUGUCACAGGAACUGGUUGAACACCUGAAGCAAACAAAGGAACUUUCCUUCUAUUUAUGCACUGCUUAAGAACCGUCAACUCACCAACGUGCCUAGUCAGCAAAUGAAUCCACUUGGGAACUUGAAAAACAUCUUAAUUAAUUUUUGUUUGCAUAAUUUUGUGUUCUGUGACAUGUUUUUAUUAUAUGGUAUGCUUUUAAUUUGGAGAACCUACUUUUUUAAAAAACGGAAAGAAAAUCUAUCUUAUUUUGUUGACUCCCAAUAACAAAAAGAGAAUGAUUUGUAUAGUAGUUAAUAAAGGCUGCCUAUUGAAAUCUCUUCUACUUUAAACCU
This 956-nucleotide long non-coding RNA is filed under the name Homo sapiens (human). Its description in RNAcentral is "long non-coding RNA NONHSAT216519.1". The record is from RNAcentral. Lineage: Eukaryota; Metazoa; Chordata; Mammalia; Primates; Hominidae.